AUUGAACGCUGGCGGCAGGCCUAACACAUGCAAGUCGAGCGGAUGAAGGGAGCUUGCUCCUGGAUUCAGCGGCGGACGGGUGAGUAAUGCCUAGGAAUCUGCCUGGUAGUGGGGGAUAACGUCCGGAAACGGGCGCUAAUACCGCAUACGUCCUGAGGGAGAAAGUGGGGGAUCUUCGGACCUCACGCUAUCAGAUGAGCCUAGGUCGGAUUAGCUAGUUGGUGGGGUAAAGGCCUACCAAGGCGACGAUCCGUAACUGGUCUGAGAGGAUGAUCAGUCACACUGGAACUGAGACACGGUCCAGACUCCUCGGGAGGCAGCAGUGGGGAAUAUUGGACAAUGGGCGAAAGCCUGAUCCAGCCAUGCCGCGUGUGUGAAGAAGGUCUUCGGAUUGUAAAGCACUUUAAGUUGGGAGGAAGGGCAGUAAGUUAAUACCUUGCUGUUUUGACGUUACCAACAGAAUAAGCACCGGCUAACUUCGUG
Molecule: ribosomal RNA, 483 nt
Filed under: uncultured bacterium
Lineage: Bacteria
Description: partial 16S ribosomal RNA
Rfam family: Bacterial small subunit ribosomal RNA
Source: RNAcentral